AAGUCGUAACAAGGUUUCCGUAGGUGAACCUGCGGAAGGAUCAUUCACACUUAAAGGAGUCUGAGCAGUCAAAUGCUUCAUUCUCUGAUUCUCCAAACCAAAACCAAUAUGCUACUGCUCCAAAAUAAGGCUCCCUUUGCUCUCUUCGGAGGACAAUGUAGGAGUAGUGCUUGUUUCUGACAAGCAUGCCUAAUCAACUGAUUUUAUUACCCCCCGUCGUUGCUUGUGGAGCUUGCUCUGCUUGUGAUUGUCAUUGCUUGUGGAGCUUGCUCUGCUUGUGAUUGUCAUUCAGGACUAAGUCUGCUUCUCGUCGACUUAAGCACUCGAUGUGGAAGCAUGUUCGACCAUACGAAACACUACACUGUUGUGUGAAAAAUACAACUCUUUACAAUGGAUAUCUUGGUUCUC
RNAcentral lists this unclassified non-coding RNA (408 nucleotides) under fungal sp. RNAcentral describes it as "partial internal transcribed spacer region". The stretch from base 1 to 46 matches the Rfam family "Eukaryotic small subunit ribosomal RNA", at positions 1786 to 1831 of the family's 1831-position model. Lineage: Eukaryota; Fungi. The record is from RNAcentral.